AAUACAUGAGGUCUCUUGGAUAUAGAUAUAUUGAUUUCUUGUUUGAAACCCAAAAGUUUUAGAUAUACAUAACCUUUUUGACCACUUUGUACAUACAACCUAUAUAUUUGGAUUGAAAUAAUCAGACAAUUUGAUUCACUGGCAACUGGAAAGAUUUCAUUGGCUAGUUUGAAAAGCAAAUACAUUGGCCCCGCCCCCGCAACGUUUCUCAGGAACGAACAAGACCUCCUGUGACUGGCAGCAGGGCAGCAGGAUGAGGACCAACAGUUGAAAUAUUCAAUGAGAAAUAAGAGGAAGAAACAGAGGAAAGAAGACAAGGAACGAUGAGGGUACCAGGGUAGCAGGGUCGUGGGGGAAAACCUGAAGCAAGAAUCCUAUGACUCCCCUGAUCGCCAUUGUCCUGCUCCUCUUGGUCUGAUGAAGUCAGAGAGGAGGACCGCUGCUGGAUGUGCAUUUGCGCUAAACCCAGGAUGUGGAUGAUGAGGACGCCUACAAACACAUCCAAAUUGGAAUCUUCGUUAUUCAUCAUGAUGGUGUUGCACUACAAUCCCCUAAAACACAUCCUUAUGGACAUUUUGUGAUGGGCAAUAUCAAAAACUUGCUCCAGGCAAUGUGCCUGCCCGAUGGCUUGACGUGCACUUCACCUGAACUACCCAAAAUGCAUGGUAAACACAUUCCGGUUCAUUCAACAGGUUUUUCUUGGGUUUGGAGAAAAAGGAGUUGAAGGCCAAAUUGCUCUCUUUGACUAAUAAGCUGGCCAUGUAAGGUCACUUCAGAUUAGUAUUUUACAUUUCCCACUAUGUUUUCAGAUGGAUUGGUCUGUCAUACGGUAUAGUGGUUAAGAUUGAGAUUUGCACACAUGCUACUGUUUAGAGCAGUGGUUCUCAACUGGAACAGUCUUGGGACCCACCAUUUUCCACUCUCAUUCGGUUGCGACCCAAUUUUUUUAGCGUUCAAGUCAAUUCAAUGCAAUUCUCAAAAUGUAAGCAAGACUCGAAUGACUGGUUGCACGCUAUCUAUCUCGCAUAAAAAUACAAAUUGUAUCUUUGACGACAGAUGACACGGAGUUCACUAUCCUAUCAAAAUAAAAGUUGUAAAUUGUUGCAGGAAAAGUUGGAUUUUUUUUUUUAGAAUUACAUAUAUAUUUUUUACACCAAGGCUCCGUGACCCACCCAUGACCCCUCCAGUUGAGAAACACUGGUUUAGAGUAUUUGCCACUGCUGUGGUAGCACCCACUACCUGUGUAGUCAUUGUAGAGGUGGUGGGAGGCUGCUGCCACAGUAGUGGGAAAUCCUUAAUUCAGUAGCAUAUAUGUAAAUUUCAAUCUUAACCAGCCUGUCCCAUAACAAACUGUCUGAACAUAUAGUUGUAGAGGUAAAAUGUCCAGCUUGACCUUGGAAGAUGUUUUUGUGUUUGCUGAUUUGGUUAAUUCCAUUAUUCAAGUAAUCAUUGUGGGCCUUUGUGCUAAGUAGUUGCGUUUUGUAUUCAAUUUAUCUUCAUUUGUAAUCUUUAUUUUAAAAUCUGUCAAGUGCAAUGUACAACCAUUUCAGGACUCUUAAUG
This is a long non-coding RNA of Engraulis encrasicolus (European anchovy), 1561 nucleotides long. RefSeq lists it as uncharacterized. The record is from RefSeq and is a predicted model, not a curated record. Lineage: Eukaryota; Metazoa; Chordata; Actinopteri; Clupeiformes; Engraulidae. The transcript has 3 exons.